Molecule: ribosomal RNA, 253 nt
Filed under: uncultured bacterium
Lineage: Bacteria
Description: partial 16S ribosomal RNA
Rfam family: Bacterial small subunit ribosomal RNA
Source: RNAcentral
UACGUAGGGGGCAAGCGUUGUCCGGAUUUAUUGGGCGUAAAGAGCGUGUAGGCGGCCACACAGGUCAGCUGUGAAAACUCGAGGCUCAACCUCGAGACGUCGGUUGAAACCGUAUGGCUAGAGUCCGGAAGAGGAGAGUGGAAUUCCCGGUGUAGCGGUGAAAUGCGCAGAUAUCUGGAGGAAUACCGGUGGCGAAGGCGGCAUCCUGGACCAUUACUGACGCUGAGGCGCGAAAGCUAGGGGAGCAAACGGG